GUUUAAUAUAUAGAAUUUUGUGAAAGGGAUGGGAAGGCAUUUCCAGCUAAUGUGUUUUGCUGUUUUUAGUUCAUGUGAUAAUCUAACCUGGUCUUAAAUGUUUGGGACAUAUGUAGUUUAGGGAAUGACUUUGAUUUUAAAUCAUUAGGGGUUUUAUGAAUACCAUUUCCUGCCAACCAUUGUUGUGGGGGGUUUUGCUUCAAAUGUUCCUAUUGGCAGAUGAAUGAUUUCAAUGAAGUACAUUACCAGAUUUCAAUGUUUUCUGUUGAUGGUUUUAUCUAUUUGAGUCAAAUAUGCGUUUAUUUUUGCUUCAUGAAUUGAUUUGUCCUCCUUGUUCUUCUUGUUGUAAUUAUGAUAUCUAUUAAAUAGAAAUACUUGUCCCUAAAUUGCUUUUUAUUUUUAUGCUUUUAGAUUUAAUAUGAAAGAAGAUCGACCUUCUACCAAGAAAGGUAGAACCUUAUUGUCUUUCUUUUCAAAAAGUAACAAAUCUCAGGAUUCUCCAAUUCCUACGGUGUCCAUUCCUCCAAUUUCAUGCCCUGAAGUUGAACGGCCUUCAUCUUCAAAUCUUAAUUUUGAACCAUCUGAUUCUAUUGAACGAGACCGUGGAAAAAGAAAGCAAAUAUGUGAACAUUCAUUUAAUGAACGUGAUCAGAUUCGGCGGGCUUAUCUAAAUGUUGGACCUUAUCAACCAAAACUUUUGGAGUAUCAGAGCAAAGAAUGUGGAAAGCAGAAACGUCGAUUUCAGGAACAUUGGUAUAAUCAGUUUCCUUGGUUGGAAUAUUCGCCUUCAACACAUAAGGCAUAUUGUUUUUACUGCUUCCUUUUUCUCAAUGAUAGUACUCCACCUAAUAUUUCAUCAUUGGUUACUGUUGGAUUUGAUAGUUGGAAGAGGGUUAACCAAGGAAGUAAAUGUGCAUUUCUUAUUCAUGUUGGUACAACAUCGUCAUCGUUUCAUAAUGGCUGUAAGAGAAGAGCUGAAGAUCUAAUGAAACCAACUCAACAUAUUGACAAGGUAAUGCAUUCUGUAUCAAAUGAGGAAAAACAGAAAAAUCGUUUGCGUCUAAAGACCACUAUUAUGAGUGUUAAGUGGUUAGCUCUUCAAGGUUGUUCCUUUAGAGGCCAUGACGAAUCUCCAUCUUCACUGAAUCGUGGGAAUUUUAUUGAAUUGGUGGAUGCAUUUGCAAAAAUGAAUAUUGAAGUAGGAAAAGUUGUGUUGAGUAAUGCUCCCAAAAAUGCUACAUACACGUCUCCAGACAUUCAAAAAGAAAUAUUGAGCAUUAUGGCAAAUAGAGUACGACAAGGAAUUCGUACGGAAAUUGGGAAUGCAAAGUUUAGUAUUCUUGUUGAUAAAGCACGAGAUGAAUCUUC
This 1368-nucleotide long non-coding RNA is filed under the name Olea europaea subsp. europaea. The record is from RNAcentral. Lineage: Eukaryota; Viridiplantae; Streptophyta; Magnoliopsida; Lamiales; Oleaceae.